Molecule: long non-coding RNA, 707 nt
Filed under: Homo sapiens (human)
Lineage: Eukaryota; Metazoa; Chordata; Mammalia; Primates; Hominidae
Description: HSALNT0356317
Source: RNAcentral
ACAGAAGACUGCUCAUGCUCAAGAUACAGCAAAAUGUUGCCUUUUAGUUAGACAGAAGACAGCUGUGCUGGGCUCAGUUGUGCUGUGCUGUGCUGUGCUGAGCUGGACCAGGCUGGGCUGAGCUGUUCCUGGGAGAGUGAAAGUGAGUGAUGCUUCCUUGCAUCCUGCACUUAGAAACCAGAAGACUUAAAUACAUUCCUGAGAGACUCUCAUGAAGACGGAAUUAAAAUGCUCCCUAACUGCUGAUACCUUAUGGGAAUUCCAGGGAAGUAGAUGCAGGUGGCAUUUGUCAUCAGGUCAUGGAUACAAAAGUAAAAGUCAGGGCUGUCCCAAUGACUAAAAGACACCAUACGAGCAUACAGAGAUGGAAUUUGCAGAAGCAUUGGCAUCCUCCUUGUUUGAUUAGCACCUGGAAGAUUUUCAAAAUAGUUGAAAAGGACAUGGAUGAAGCUAGAAACCAUCAUUCUCAGAAAACACAAGAACAGAAAACCAAAUGUGUUCGGAGUUAGUUCUUUCUGGUGGGUUCUCGGUCUUGCUGACUUCAAGAAUGAAGCCACGGACCUUUGCGUUCUUCUAGAAAACACGUCAACAGAUGUUUGAGACUCCAGUCCCCAUGAUCUGAGUCGAGGUCCCAGUGGGGAUCCAUACUGGGGACGACUUGCUGACCGGGAUGGCAGUUUCCCAACAGUCAGAUGCACCUGUUCUAC